This 507-nucleotide ribosomal RNA is filed under the name uncultured bacterium. RNAcentral's name for it is "partial 16S ribosomal RNA". The record is from RNAcentral.
GGAGUUAGCCGGUGCUUCUUCUGUGAGUGAUGUCCUUCCUGCCGGUUAUUGACCCGCAGGCCUUCUUCCUCACUGAAAGUGCUUUACAACCCGAAGGCCUUCUUCACACACGCGGCAUGGCUGGAUCAGGGUUGCCCCCAUUGUCCAAUAUUCCCCACUGCUGCCUCCCGUAGGAGUCUGGGCCGUGUCUCAGUCCCAGUGUGGCUGAUCAUCCUCUCAGACCAGCUACGGAUCGUCGCCUUGGUGAGCCGUUACCUCACCAACCAGCUAAUCCGACAUAGGCUCAUCCGAUAGCGCGAGGCCCGAAGGUCCCCCGCUUUCCCCCGUAGGGCGUAUGCGGUAUUAGCCUGGGGUUUCCCCAGGUUAUCCCCCACUACCGGGCAGAUUCCUAUGCAUUACUCACCCGUCCGCCGCUCGCCACCAGGGAGCAAGCUCCCCGUGCUGCCGCUCGACUUGCAUGUGUUAGGCCUGCCGCCACGCGUCAUCUGAGCGAGAUACAACUACUGA